RNAcentral lists this long non-coding RNA (1552 nucleotides) under Pan troglodytes (chimpanzee). RNAcentral's name for it is "lincRNA". The record is from RNAcentral. Lineage: Eukaryota; Metazoa; Chordata; Mammalia; Primates; Hominidae.
GUACAUGUUUAUUGAUUUCUGUAUGACCCUGGUAAUAAGCUCACUAAAUUAAUGCCACCUAAAUUGUUCCUUGGUUUACUAACAAAGAAUAACCAUAUUUUUAUGGUCCAAAUGCCAGGUUUACAUAAGAGGCUCAUCAAGAAGGAGAGGAAAAAAUGGUUGCAACUAAAGUGAUUUUCCCCUUCCACUUAGUCCUCCGUUCAUAGGGCCCAAUAGCUUCCUAUCAAGCAUCUCAAAAUCUUUCUGACACCUGGAUUUCAAGAUUUUCCAUUACUUAAUGCAUCCUCCUGAAAGUAUCCCCACACUUUUCCACUACCCAUUAGCGGGAUGCCAUUCAGUAAUAGAAGCUACAUUCCUUGAGAGCAAGAACCUCAUCUGUAUCUCUGUGCCUGAAGGAGCCUGGCACAUAGUAUUUAAUAAGUACUCAAUAAAAAUCUGCUUUAUGAAAAUAGCCUUAUUUGUUCACUACCUAUCUUACUAGUUCCUGAGAUAUUUGAAAAGUUCUCUCUCCUUUUGGAGUGUCAGCAUAAUUCUGGGAUGCUGAGAUCCUGUAGAGUUAUAGCCUUGGUUUGGUUCAGUUACUUUUCAAAGUUCCAGCUAAAUCCUAAGGCAUUCACAAGGGUGAGGUGCAGGUGUCUGAAUAUUUGGGCAUUAAUAAGCCAGAUAGCACUAUUCUGUGGCUUUCCAAGGUCAAUUAAAUUCUUUCCCCCAGUGAGAAAGAACAUCAGCCCUAGAACUCAGCUUUAGUUCUAGCUUCAAACCAAUUGGCUUUGGACACUUCUUAAUUUUACAGCUCCUGGUUUUUCUAACCACUCUUAGGGCUCUAAAAACCAUUUACUGUUUUUUUAGAGAAAUCAACUAACCAUUCUAUGUCCUAGCAUUAUAUUUUUCAAAAAUUUCCCCAGUAGAAGUAAAAGCAAUUUUACCAGUAACCUUUACUAAUUUUUCUGAAAUUGAGAUGCCUCCCUAGACCUAAAAAGAGUUAUUUCUAAAUUUAGAGUCAGCUACUAGUAGUCUCUGUCUUUAUUCAGAGUGAUCAUAGUUCAUUGUAGACCAGCAAAAAAAAAAAACUAAAAAAACAAAAUCUAACUUUUUUUAACAAGAUUACAUUUUGGGGCUUCGUCUCUACCCAGCAGAGGAAAACAGGGUGGGAGAUAAAACAUUCCAUCUAAGCAAUUUCUCAAGCCUUACAGCCUCUUACUUCUGCCCAGCAGAUCUUAAGUAACAAAAUAAAUACACUUUGUAUGAGUAAAGAGUGGAACAUUUGGGGAGGUAAGUCAAAGAGAUAGCUUCCAAGUCACUUGUAAUAAAUAUAUCUGGAACGAAAAACCAUUUUCUUCACAAGUUAGAUUUGUAAUUACCAAAUUAGACAUUGCUUGGUGCUAAAGAGCUGGAUGCUGAGAGAUUGCCCCUCUCCUCCCAUUGCACUGAGCCUUAACCUCCUGAAUUCCUGUUGAGCACUUGUAGGUAUCUGGGGUCGCUUUGCUCAGCUUUCAUAGCUGAGCAAACUCAACUGUGUCCAUGUUGAAAAAAUAAAAGAAAUUCCACCAAA